This 530-nucleotide ribosomal RNA is filed under the name uncultured Bacillota bacterium. Its description in RNAcentral is "bacterial SSU rRNA". It matches the Rfam family "Bacterial small subunit ribosomal RNA", at positions 8 to 522 of the family's 1533-position model. The record is from RNAcentral. Lineage: Bacteria; Bacillati; Bacillota.
AGAGUUUGAUCCUGGCUCAGGACGAACGCUGGCGGCGUGCCUAAUACAUGCAAGUCGAGCGGACUGAGAGGUGCUUGCACCUCGAUGUUAGCGGCGGACGGGUGAGUAACACGUGGGUAACCUGCCGGACAGACCGGGAUAACGCUUGGAAACGAGUGCUAAUACCGGAUAGGCUUCUGAGUCGCAUGACUUAGAAGGGAAAGGAGCUAUCGCUCCGCUGUUCGAUGGACCCGCGGCGCAUUAGCUAGUUGGUGAGGUAACGGCUCACCAAGGCGACGAUGCGUAGCCGACCUGAGAGGGUGACCGGCCACACUGGGACUGAGACACGGCCCAGACUCCUACGGGAGGCAGCAGUAGGGAAUCUUCCGCAAUGGGCGAAAGCCUGACGGAGCAACGCCGCGUGAGUGAUGAAGGCCUUCGGGUUGUAAAACUCUGUCUUCUGUGAAGAACAAGCCUGUGAGUGGAAAGCUCAGGCCUUGACGGUAACAGAGGAGGAAGCCCCGGCUAACUACGUGCCAGCAGCCGCGGUA